Molecule: ribosomal RNA, 1486 nt
Filed under: Gossypium barbadense (sea-island cotton)
Lineage: Eukaryota; Viridiplantae; Streptophyta; Magnoliopsida; Malvales; Malvaceae
Description: bacterial SSU rRNA
Rfam family: Bacterial small subunit ribosomal RNA
Source: RNAcentral
AGAGUUCGAUCCUGCUCAGGAUGAACGGCUGGCGUGCAUGCUUAACCUUGGCAGUCGGAUCUCGGAAGUGGUGUUUCUCCGUGGCGGACGGUGAGUAAACGCGUAAAGAACCUGCCCUUUGGAGGGGAACACAGCUGGAAAGGCUGUUAAUACCCCGUAGGCUGAGGAGCAAAGCGGACGCCCGAGUAGGGCUCGCGUCUGAUUAGCUAGUUGGUUGAGGCAAUAGCCUUACAAGGCGAUUGAUCAGCUAGGCUGGUCCGAGAGCGAUGAUCAGCCCCCACACUGGCUGGGACCAUGUCCAGACUCCUACGGAGCAGCAGUGGGGGAAUUUUCCGCCAAUGGGGGAAGCCUGACGGAGCAAUGCCGAGGUGGAGGGUAGAAGCCCACGGGUCGUGAACUUCUUCCCGGAGAAGAAGCCAAUGACGGUUCUGGGGAAUACGCAUCGUGCUAACUCUGGUGCCAGCAGCGGCGGUAAUACAGAGGAUUGCAAGCGUUAUCCGGAAUGACUUGGGCGUAAAGCGUCUGUAGGUGGCUUUUUAUCCGCGUCAAUCCACGGCUCAACCCUGGACAGGCGUUGGAACACUAGCCAAAUGCUGGAGUACGGUAGGGCGGAGGGAUUUCCGUGGGAGCGGUGAAAUGCGCCUAGAGAUCGGAAUGAACACCCGGCGAAAGCACUCUGCUGGGCCGACACUGACACUGAGAGACGGAACUAGGGAAGCGAAUGGCGGAUUAGAUACCCAGGUAGUCUGGCCGUAAACGAUGAUAUUACUAGGCGCUGUGCGUAUCGGACCCGUGCACAGUGCUGUGGCUAACGCGCUUAAGUUAUCCGCUGGGGAGUACGUUCGCAAGAUGAAACUCAAAGGCAAUUGACGGGCCGCACAGCGGGUGGAGCAUGUGGUUUAUUCGAUGCAAAGCGAGAACCUUAACAGGGCUUGACAUGCCGCGAAAUCCUCUUGAAAGAGAGGGGUGCCUUCGGGAAGGCGUACACAGGUGGUGCAUGGCUGCGUCAGCUCGUGCCGUAAGGUGUUGGUUUAAGUCCCGCAACGAGCGCAACCCUCGUGUUUUAGUUGCCCACCGUUGAGUUUGGAACCUUGAGCAGAACUGCCGUGAUAAGCGUAGGAAGGUGAGGAUGGACGUCAGUCAUCAUGGCCCUUAUGCCCUGGGUCGACCACGGCCUCCAAUGGACGGGACAAAAGGGGUCGCGAUCCGCGAGGGUGAGCUAACUUCCAAAAAACCCGUCCUCAUUUCGGAUUGCAGGCUGCAACUCCGCCAGCAUGAAGCCGGAAUUCUAGUAAUCGCCGUCAAGCCUUUACGGCCGUGAAUUCGGUUCCGGCCUUGUACUACACGCCCGUCCACACUAUGGGAGCUGUGCCAUGCCCCGAAGCUCCGUUUACUUAAACGCAAGGAGGGGGGAUGCCGAAGCAGGGCUAGUGACUGAGAGUUAAGAAGUCGUAAACAAGGUAGCCGUACUUGGAAGGUGCGGGAC